GUGCCAGUAGCUCAACGGCAGAGCGCUGGGUUGUGGUCCUAGAUGUUGUGGGUUCAAAUCCCAUCUGGCACC
RNAcentral lists this transfer RNA (72 nucleotides) under Chloroflexota bacterium. RNAcentral's name for it is "tRNA-His". It matches the Rfam family "tRNA". From Rfam's summary of the family: Transfer RNA (tRNA) molecules are approximately 80 nucleotides in length. Lineage: Bacteria; Bacillati; Chloroflexota. The record is from RNAcentral. RNAcentral also lists the same sequence under 1 other name.